AGGAUGAACGCGUGGCGGCGUGACCCUCAAAACAUAGCAAGUCGAGCGAGGCUAUGAAUUACCGCAAGGUAAGGCAUAGCCUAGCGGCGAACGGGUGAGUAACACGUGGGUAACCUACCUGGAAGACAGGGAUAACGAUUCGAAAGGGUCGCUAAUACCUGAUAAUAUCCAUCUGCCGGAUGGCGGAGGGAAGAAAGGGGAAACCCGCUUUCAGAUGGGCCCGCGUCCCAUCAGCUAGUUGGUAAGGUAAAGGCUUACCAAGGCGACGACGGGUAGCCGGUCUGAGAGGAUGUACGGCCACACUGGGACUGAGAUACGGCCCAGACUCCUACGGGAGGCAGCAGUUGGGAAUCUUAGGCAAUGGACGAAAGUCUGACCUAGCGACGCCGCGUGAGGGAAGAAGGCCUUCGGGUUGUAAACCUCUGUCAUGGGGGAAGAAGGAAGUGACGGUACCCCAAGAGGAAGCCCCUGCUAACUACGUG
This 482-nucleotide ribosomal RNA is filed under the name uncultured bacterium. RNAcentral's name for it is "bacterial SSU rRNA". It matches the Rfam family "Bacterial small subunit ribosomal RNA", at positions 26 to 507 of the family's 1533-position model. The record is from RNAcentral.